UGGGGUGUGGCUCAGAGGUAGAGUGUUUGCCUGGCAUGCGUGAGGCACUGGGUUCGAUCCUCUGCACCACAU
This 72-nucleotide transfer RNA is filed under the name Urocitellus parryii (Arctic ground squirrel). RNAcentral describes it as "Spermophilus parryii (Arctic ground squirrel) tRNA". It matches the Rfam family "tRNA". Rfam says of the family: Transfer RNA (tRNA) molecules are approximately 80 nucleotides in length. Their secondary structure includes four short double-helical elements and three loops (D, anti-codon, and T loops). RNAcentral also lists the same sequence under 2 other names. The record is from Rfam by way of RNAcentral. Lineage: Eukaryota; Metazoa; Chordata; Mammalia; Rodentia; Sciuridae.